CCAUCUGCUCUUUCCGCCGCCCACUUCUUCUUCUCCACCUAUUUCUCUCUUUUUUUUCUCUUUGUUGAUUGUUAAAAGUUCUUCUGCUCACCUCUUCUAAUUCUUCGAGAUUCGUUGUUUAACCCCUUCUCCACCAUUUUCAAAAUUCCAAAGGAGUCUUUGCAGAAUAGGUGAAGAAUUUGCUCUCUCAAAGUCGACGUAUGGUGCUGCUCCGGCGAAGAAGCAACGCAGUCGCCGUAAACCACCAAGCCGCCGUCAAUUCCGAAAUUUCCGAAAUUCCGACCGAAAUUUUCAGAAUCGGAAUCGGAAUGACCCGAAAAUUUCGGAAUCGGAAUCGGAAUUGAAUUUUUACUUCCGAAAAAAAUCGGAAUUUUUCCGAAAGGGUGGAUUCCGAUCCGAUCCCUCCGAUCUCCACCCCUA
RNAcentral lists this long non-coding RNA (420 nucleotides) under Erythranthe guttata (spotted monkey flower). RNAcentral's name for it is "long non-coding RNA (EGUT_LNC000925)". The record is from RNAcentral. Lineage: Eukaryota; Viridiplantae; Streptophyta; Magnoliopsida; Lamiales; Phrymaceae.